GACCUCCAAAGUUUCCCCUGUCCAAUACAGAUCUAUAUAUACAGAUGGAAGUUCUUUUAUGGAACAAGGGGAACACAAAGCUGGAUAUGCUAUGGUAAAUUUUUAAUCACCGUGCUUAGGGUAUUAACCACAGUAGGGUGCUACAUCAUCCCCUGCCUACAUGGUCUCAUUCAGAGAUUAAUCAAAACCUCACUCACUAAACAACUCCUCUCUCAUACCAAUAUCAAAAUUUCUUCCUUUCAGACACAAAGGAACCUCACAUGGACAUCUAUUGCGGACCCCUGGACCAGCCACCAAGGGACCAUCACUGCUGCUUCUCAAUGCCCCUUAACAUCAGGAAGCAGUUACUGAGAGGUUGUUCCAGAUGACUUCUACCAUGAACCUCUUGAUCAACCUGAUCGUCCCUAAGGGAAAUCUGAAUUGCUGACCCCUCGUUGCUCCUCUCUGCUUGAAGCAGCUGUCAUCACCCAGUUUUUCUUACUGCUGCAAGGACCUUAUUAGAGGGGGUAUUGAGAUAGAAAAGGAUGGGCAGUGAAGAAUGGGGAAGGGAGAGUGAAGGUCAACAAGAGGGCAAACAGAACAGCCUUUCUAACAUGCUCAGACAAGUUGCAAAACAGUUCCUGUUUCUCAGAAAGGGCAUAAGUUUCCAUCACUCAGAGAGUGACUGCAUCAUCCAGCCUGUGUCCACCUUGGGACAACUGAAAUAUCAAGAACCAAUCAAGAGGAGCUUAUCAACUUCUCCUUACAUGCCUUUAAAAGAGGGAACACUGUAAGAUCUAAACAGCACUCUUGCCCCUCCCAGGAGCACUGCCCAGGGAGUUCUGAGUCUUUUACUUUGCUUUUAAAUAAAAUUCCUGCAUGCUUGCUUAUGUGGGCAUUGAAGG
This 884-nucleotide long non-coding RNA is filed under the name Marmota monax (woodchuck). The record is from RNAcentral. Lineage: Eukaryota; Metazoa; Chordata; Mammalia; Rodentia; Sciuridae.